GGCCCGUUAGCUCAGUUGGUUAGAGCGUCGUGCUAAUAACGCGAAAGUCGUGGGUUCAAUCCCCUCACGGGCCA
This 74-nucleotide transfer RNA is filed under the name Stegodyphus dumicola. RNAcentral describes it as "tRNA-Ile". It matches the Rfam family "tRNA". Rfam says of the family: Transfer RNA (tRNA) molecules are approximately 80 nucleotides in length. Their secondary structure includes four short double-helical elements and three loops (D, anti-codon, and T loops). Lineage: Eukaryota; Metazoa; Arthropoda; Arachnida; Araneae; Eresidae. The record is from RNAcentral.